GGCAGGCUUAACACAUGCAAGUCGAGCGGGGGAAGGUAGCUUGCUACCGGACCUAGCGGCGGACGGGUGAGUAAUGCUUAGGAAUCUGCCUAUUAGUGGGGGACAACAUCUCGAAAGGGAUGCUAAUACCGCAUACGUCCUACGGGAGAAAGCAGGGGAUCUUCGGACCUUGCGCUAAUAGAUGAGCCUAAGUCGGAUUAGCUAGUUGGUGGGGUAAAGGCCUACCAAGGCGACGAUCUGUAGCGGGUCUGAGAGGAUGAUCCGCCACACUGGGACUGAGACACGGCCCAGACUCCUACGGGAGGCAGCAGUGGGGAAUAUUGGACAAUGGGGGGAACCCUGAUCCGGCCAUGCCGCGUG
This 360-nucleotide ribosomal RNA is filed under the name Acinetobacter baumannii OIFC109. RNAcentral's name for it is "bacterial SSU rRNA". It matches the Rfam family "Bacterial small subunit ribosomal RNA", at positions 41 to 403 of the family's 1533-position model. Lineage: Bacteria; Pseudomonadati; Pseudomonadota; Gammaproteobacteria; Moraxellales; Moraxellaceae. The record is from RNAcentral.